GACACCUACGGGCCAAGGGCUUACCGACUGAAAACUCUGGAAGGGAAAUCGAUUUCCCGGACCUGGAAUGCUGACAACCUGAAGUUGUAUCACUAAUGAACUUUGUACUUGUUCAUUUGGAAUACAAAUUCAGUUUCAAAUUUCGGAGUCUUAGCUCUUCGACUGAUGAUCGGCGCUCACCAAGAAGGUCGAGUCCCGACGUCCCAACUCGGACUUAGUGUCCGCGUGGAACCGACGGCUCGACCGCCGACCGCCGACGAUGUAUCGGGCGCUCACAAUGGUCGAACCGUCCACGACAACGGGAGUUAACACUCCUUCUACGAUC
RNAcentral lists this long non-coding RNA (325 nucleotides) under Elaeis guineensis (African oil palm). RNAcentral's name for it is "long non-coding RNA (EGUI_LNC028989)". The record is from RNAcentral. Lineage: Eukaryota; Viridiplantae; Streptophyta; Magnoliopsida; Arecales; Arecaceae.